CUCCGUUUCACAAUGUAAGUCAUUCUAGCAUUUCCCACAUUCAUAUUGAUGUUAAUGAAUCUAGACAUAUAUAUCUAUCUAGAUUCAUUAACAUCAAUAUGAAUGUGGGAAAUGCUAGAAUGACUUGCAUUGUGAAACGG
RNAcentral lists this unclassified non-coding RNA (140 nucleotides) under Oryza sativa (Asian cultivated rice). RNAcentral describes it as "partial microRNA MIR455b-32 precursor". Lineage: Eukaryota; Viridiplantae; Streptophyta; Magnoliopsida; Poales; Poaceae. The record is from RNAcentral.